This is a long non-coding RNA of Xenia sp. Carnegie-2017, 376 nucleotides long. RefSeq lists it as uncharacterized. The record is from RefSeq and is a predicted model, not a curated record. NCBI's taxonomy places the organism in Eukaryota, Metazoa, Cnidaria, Anthozoa, Malacalcyonacea, Xeniidae. The transcript has 4 exons.
AGUCAGAGAAGAAGCGCGAUGGAAUACAGUCGUAUUUGUUCAUUUCUUUGAAGCUGUUGAAAAAAGGCGUUCAAGAAGUCAGAAAAGACGCAGACGACCGGCAAAGAGUUAAGGCAUUGUGGAACUUUUUCAACGUACAUGCUGACGAAAAAAGACGUUCACGAACUCGGAAAAGACGUAGAGGACCCAGUAAAGAAAUACCUACUAACGCCACAGCGGAACUUUUCGUUUUCGCUUUUCGUUGUACAAGAGUGAAAGGCGUAACGCUGUGUAUUCGUUGUCAUUUUGCGAUUUCAACAAUUGAAGUAUCGGAUUCCAGUAUUUGCAAAUACUUUGUAGCAUUGGAUUCCAUGGUUAGGAAAUUAUUUGGUCAUAU